Molecule: RNA transcript, 2939 nt
Organism: Anguilla anguilla (European eel)
Lineage: Eukaryota; Metazoa; Chordata; Actinopteri; Anguilliformes; Anguillidae
Gene name: beta-centractin-like
Exons: 10
Source: RefSeq, a predicted model, not a curated record
UCUAUUGGGUAAUGUAGCUGCUCAGCAAAACUGUUCGCACCAUAGACUGUAUUGCCCUGCUGCUGCAACGAGCUUUAUUGACUCGUAGAAAAUCGCUUGGUGACAGGGCUAUUUUCCAUUUGACAAACUGAGGGUAAUCGACGAAAAACGAUUGUUAGUGAUAAUACGCUACAGAGCGAACAACUCGUCAUGGAGUCAUAUGACAUCAUAGCUAACCAGCCUGUUGUCAUUGAUAAUGGUUCAGGUGUGAUCAAGGCUGGCUUUGCUGGAGACCAGAUCCCCAAAUACUGUUUUCCAAACUAUGUGGGACGUCCCAAGCAUGUACGUGUAAUGGCAGGUGCACUCGAAGGGGAUCUUUUCAUUGGCCCCAAAGCAGAGGAGCACCGGGGGCUGCUGUCUGUGAGGUAUCCCAUGGAGCACGGCAUAGUGAAGGACUGGAAUGAUAUGGAGCGUAUCUGGCAUUACGUCUACUCAAAGGAGCAGCUGCAGACCUUCUCUGAGGAGCAUCCUGUGCUGCUGACAGAGGCGCCCCUGAACCCCAGUAAAAACCGUGAGCGGGCAGCUGAGGUUUUCUUUGAGACCUUUAAUGUUCCGGCGCUAUUCAUCUCCAUGCAGGCCGUGCUCAGCCUGUACGCCACAGGGCGGACGACAGGUGUGGUGCUGGAUGCGGGUGACGGGGUGACCCACGCCGUGCCCAUCUAUGAAGGCUUUGCCAUCCCCCACUCCAUCAUGCGUGUGGACAUCGCUGGUCGUGACAUCUCCCGAUUCCUGCGUCUGCUCCUGCGCAAGGAGGGCUAUGACUUCCACACCUCUGCCGAGUUUGAGGUGGUCCGCACCAUCAAAGAGAGAGCGUGCUACCUGUCCCUGAACCCUCAGAAGGACGAGACCCUGGAGACAGAGAAGGCACAGUACACCCUACCCGAUGGAAGCACGCUGGAUAUUGGCCCGGCACGUUUCCGGGCCCCAGAGCUGCUGUUCCGGCCAGACCUGAUCGGGGAUGAGAGCGAGGGCAUCCACGAGGUGCUGGCCUUCGCCAUCCAGAAGUCUGACAUGGACCUGCGACGCACGCUCUUCUCCAACAUCGUGCUGUCUGGAGGCUCCACACUGCUCAAAGGUGUGGAAACCAAGUUCACCUCCCCCACCACGGUGUUCAUUUGGAAUUUUUCCACCAGGAUGAUAUGCCUGCAUGAGUGGUGCAGCUUUGCUGCACAAAUAUAUAUUUGUUUUUAAUUCCAACUUGCAUUUUGGAGGAUUCUAGUUGUUAUCUAGCGUUAGAGUUAUUAGUUAGUGGUUUUUGUAGAACUGUUUUGGGAUAGUUUACCUACCCUGCCCUGCCUGCAGAGUUACCAUUGUGGAUUUGGACGAUUUUGACUGCUGUUUCUCGCCUGCAGAAAACUACAAAAUGGCUGAGCAUUCACUGUUCAGCUUCUGAAAGUAGCACCAGACGACUCACCAAGUGCGGGUAGAUUAUGUCAGUGUUGAGUAAACAGGAUCACUUUACUGGACAAAUUCUCUGGAAGUUGCAUCACACGCAUAACUUCAGAAUACUCCCACAAAUCUCUGGAUCUGUUUGGAUGCUUUGAUGAAAUGUGUCUGCGGUCUGCACCUGCUAGAGCCAUAGAUUUUCUAUGGCUGGAGUGGUAUUGAGUGGUAACCUAAAGUUAGCCAAGACAUUUCUGUGAAAAUGAUCUAAUGUUAGUCAGCUGUCGACAAAGAUGUGGCCAACACAUCACUGGGCUAGAAGAAAAAUAAGCAGUUAAAAGAAGGUGUUGACACCUCGGGCGACAUGGCUCAGGAGGUAAGACCGAUUGUCUGGCAGUUGGAGGGUUGCCAGUUCAAACCCCGCCCCGGGCGUGUCGAAGUGUCCUUGAGCAAGACACCUAACCCCUAACUGCUCUGACGAAUGAGAGGCAUCAAUUGUAAAGCGCUUUGGAUAAAAGUGCUAUAUAAAUGCAGUCCAUUUACCAAGAAUAAAGUGAGUUUUUUAAAAAUUUAGUUUUAAUGUAGAAGAAGCUUAAUAAUGGCAAGUGUUGCUAAUGGCUGGCAUAAUGCCCCACAUCCCCUUGCCCUACUACUACACCAUGGCCUGGAGAUAAUACAUCGCUCCUCUUGCCUUACUACAACACCAGGACCCUGGGGUAAUACACCACUCCCCCUGCUCUACUAGUACACUAGGACCUGGGGAUAAUACACCACCUUUCCUUGCCUUACUACAACACCAGGACCUGGGGAUAAUACACCACCUUUCCUUGCCUUACUACAACACCAGGACCUGGGGAUAAUACACCACCUUUCCUUGCCUUACUACUACACCAGGACCUGGGGAUAAUACACCACCUCCCCUGCCCGACUAGUACACCAGGACCUGGAGAUAAUGCACCACCAUUCCUUGCCUUACUACAACACCAGGACCUUGGGAUAAUGCACCACCAUUCCUUACCUGACUACUACACCAGGAUCUGGAGAUAAUACACCGCUCCUCUUGCCUUACUGCUACAUCAGGACCCUGGGGUAAUACACCGCACCCCCCCGGCCCUACUAGUACACCAGGACCCAGGGAUAAUACACGACCUUUCCUUGCAUUACUACUACACCAGGGCCUGGGGAUAAUAUACCACCUCCCCCUGCCCUAAUAUUCCAGGACCUGGGGAUAAUACACCACCUCCCCUGCCCGACUAGUACACCAGGACCUGGAGAUAAUGCACCAGCAUUCCUUGCCUUACUACAACACCAGGACCUGGGGAUAAUGCACCACCAUUCCUUACCUGACUACUACACCAGGAUCUGGAGAUAAUACACCGCUCCUCUUGCCUUACUGCUACAACAGGACCCUGGGGCUUUGGGGAUCGUUUGCUGAGUGAAGUGAAGAAGCUGGCUCCUAAAGAUGUUAAAAUUAAGAUCUCUGCACCACAAGAGAGAUUGUACUCCACAUGGAUUGG